This 1678-nucleotide long non-coding RNA is filed under the name Olea europaea subsp. europaea. The record is from RNAcentral. Lineage: Eukaryota; Viridiplantae; Streptophyta; Magnoliopsida; Lamiales; Oleaceae.
AAAUUUAGGUGUGAUAAACAUGAAUUGGAGCUCAAGCUUGGGGAUUACUUCAUUUCCAAUUUCAGCUAGGUAAGGAAUAUUACUUUUAGUAAACCCUAGAAAUUUUAUUUAGGAUUUUUGGAUUAAGGUGUUCAUGGAAAUGAUGAUGUUGAAGAAAUAAUUAUUUGGAAGUAUGAAAUUAUGGAACAAGAGGAAAUUUUAAUUGGUCGGAGCAUUGUGAAAGUUGUCACUAGAAUGAAGUGGUAAUUACAUAAAUCCUUGGAAUGAAGGCUAUGUUGAUGAAUUAGUUAUUAGUCAAGGGAUCAUGAAGUGUGAUUAGCUCCAAUUAAUAAAGGAAAAUCUGAGAAUUUAUUCAAGUAUCAAGAAAUUUAAUUUUAAGUUCUAUAAUUAGAUAUUACGGUUUCUUAAUUUGAUAGUGGAUAAAUUAGUUAUUAAUGUUAUAUUUUAGGUGGUGACGAGGAGAUUGAAAAUGUUUACCAGGUAGUCUAGCUUGUAGCUCAUACUUGUGAGUGGAUAUAAAAACUUAUUUUUUUAGAAAUUAGUAUUUAUUAUUAUUUUAUACAAUUGAUUUUGACAGCAUAAUUUUUAGAAUAAAGUGGAUUUAUAAUCAGAUAUUUUUAAAGUUAAAUUCAGUUCAAUUGAAUCAUUUGAUUAGCAUGUUAUAUGAAUAUAAAUGUUUCAGUAUAGCUAAAGUUAUUUUUAAAACCACUAGAAUGUACCCAGGUGAUUUUACCCUAAUCUGCACUGGUGUGAAUGUGUUUUCACAGUGUAUGAUCAGUUAUGGUGAUUUUACCCGCUCUAUACUAUUGUGAAUGUGUUUCCAUAGUAUAUGACCAAAUUAUUAGAGGUCUUUGGGACCCACUAUCGUACACAUAUAGACUUUGGGCUGUGUACUAGGGUGAUUAGCCUUUGGGGCAACUCUACGUACGUAUAACCAGAUUAUCAGAUGUGAAUGGACUUGCUUUGUACAUCGAGAUUACUCUGUACAUGAGUAAGGAUAUUCAUAGGGUACCUUUUUGAUGUGAUUUUUCAGUAUUUCUACAGCUUAUCAGUUUUCAGAUUAUAAAAUUCAGUUAAUUCGGUUUUCUAAAUAAAGCUUUCAGCUUAUAGUAUUGAGCAGCAGCAAUAUUUCAUAGAUUUUCAUGGAUAUCAGAUUAUGUAUAGUCAUUAUAUUAUAUAGUUGCUUUUCUAGAAUUAAGAACAAAGAACUUUAUGAUACGAUCAUGUCUAGUUUUUAAAGUGUACUAGAUUCAGAAUUUUUCAAAGAUUUGAUAAAGUUAGAAUUUUUAGAAAAUGUGCAUAAAUGGAAAAUUUUACUUAUUUGCAAGCUAUCCACUCACUGAGUUACAAACUAAUAUAUUUUGUCAUGUUUUUUUCCUAUUAGGAGACUGUUGAUUUUGAGAUACUUGGAAAGGCCUGCUGAAGUCAAAGACACCGUUUCAUAGUAUGUAAUAUAUAGUUGGGGACUCAUGUUUAAUAAGUACUUGGUCUAAUAUUUAGUUUGACGUGUAUUUCGUAGAAGGGUUUGUAAUUGAUGUAAUGCUUGCUUGUAGACAUGAUGCUAAUGUAGAAGCACUCAGUCGAGUUUAGUUGUAUUUUGUCUUAGUCGUGGUGGUAUUAGAGGAAGUGGUGGUUUCCAAAACUUUUGGUUUGAAUGUCUAUAUGAGGUUUUGUUGAU